UGGGCCUCAAAUAAUGUGUGACUC
This 24-nucleotide ribosomal RNA is filed under the name Anopheles parvus. RNAcentral describes it as "partial 28S ribosomal RNA". The record is from RNAcentral. Lineage: Eukaryota; Metazoa; Arthropoda; Insecta; Diptera; Culicidae.